RNAcentral lists this small RNA (801 nucleotides) under Pongo abelii (Sumatran orangutan). Its description in RNAcentral is "retained intron". Lineage: Eukaryota; Metazoa; Chordata; Mammalia; Primates; Hominidae. The record is from RNAcentral.
GGGACCCGAAGCACGCAGACCUCUCCGGCUUUACGUUCACCUCGGUGUCUGCAGCACCCUCAGCUUCCUCUCCUAGGCGACGAGACCCAGCGGCUAGAAAUUCACCAUGUCUAUUCUCAAGAUCCAUGCCAGGGAGAUCUUUGACUCUCGUGGGAAUCCCACUGUUGAGGUUGAUCUCUUCACCUCAAAAGGUCUCUUCAGAGCUGCUGUGCCCAGUGGUGCUUCAACUGGUAUCUAUGAGGCCCUAGAGCUCCGGGACAAUGAUAAGACUCGCUAUAUGGGGAAGGGUAAGCCUUAGAACCCACAGCCGGUGGCCUCCCUGCCUUGCCCAGUCCUGUCCUCCUCUGGGUGGCGCUUGCAUUUGCAGGUUUCUGGCAGGUAAACCUGGAACUCAUGAUGUGGAAGCAGCGCACCAGCGCCGUGUGAACAGGAAGGCUGGUGUGGAUUCCGGGUUCCUGAGCCCGCAUGCUCUGGGUCGACAGUUCCGAUGCUUGUUUCUAUUGCAGUUUAUCCCCAGUCUGCGAAAUACUCCUUCAUGGUUAGGACAGGAACCCAAGGAUGAGAACAGGGGCUGUUAACUAAAGAAAAGUUUCCCCAUCUCCCAGGAGGGUUCUGUGGGCCCUCCAGAGAUCAUCAGCCUCUGCAGGGGCUAGAAAGGAUCCAGGGAAGGUCUAACCAAUGACCUACUCUGAAGGGUGAGCUACAGAUGUGUCAUUUAGUCUGAUUUUCCUGUUGACUGACUCACAGGAGCCCUGCCCUGUGGCAGAGCCAGCCUCUGGCUGUAUUCACAUUGACUUAGUG